GAUGAACGCUGGCGGCGUGCCUAAUACAUGCAAGUCGAGCGAACAGACGAGGAGCUUGCUCCUCUGACGUUAGCGGCGGACGGGUGAGUAACACGUGGAUAACCUACCUAUAAGACUGGGAUCACUUCGGGAAACCGGAUCUAAUCCCGGAUAAUAUAUUGAACCGCAUGGUUCAAUAGUGAAAGACGGUUUUGCUGUCACUUAUAGAUGGAUCCGCGCCGCAUUAGCUAGUUGGUAAGGUAACGGCUUACCAAGGCUACGAUGCGUAGCCGACCUGAGAGGGUGAUCGGCCACACGGGAACUGAGACACGGUCCAGACUCCUACGGGAGGCAGCAGUAGGGAAUCUGCCGCAAUGGGCGAAAGCCUGACGGAGCAACGCCGCGUGAGUGAUGAAGGUCUUCGGAUCGUAAAGCUCUGUUACUAGGGAAGAACAAAUGUGUAAGUAGCUAUGCACGUCUUGACGGUACCUAAUCAGAAAGCCACGGCUAACUACGUG
This 497-nucleotide ribosomal RNA is filed under the name uncultured bacterium. RNAcentral's name for it is "partial 16S ribosomal RNA". It matches the Rfam family "Bacterial small subunit ribosomal RNA", at positions 28 to 507 of the family's 1533-position model. The record is from RNAcentral.